GACGAACGCUGGCGGCGUGCUUAACACAUGCAAGUCGAACGGAAAGGCCCUGCUUUUGUGGGGUGCUCGAGUGGCGAACGGGUGAGUAACACGUGAGUAACCUGCCCUUGACUUUGGGAUAACUUCAGGAAACUGGGGCUAAUACCGGAUAGGAUCUCCUGCUGCAUGGUGUGGGUUGGAAAGUUUCGGCGGUUGGGGAUGGACUCGCGGCUUAUCAGCUUGUUGGUGGGGUAGUGGCUUACCAAGGCUUUGACGGGUAGCCGGCCUGAGAGGGUGACCGGCCACAUUGGGACUGAGAUACGGCCCAGAAUCCUACGGGAGGCAGCAGUGGGGAAUAUUGCACAAUGGGCGGAAGCCUGAUGCAGAAACGCCGCGUGCGGGAUGACGGCCUUCGGGUUGUAAACCGCUUUCGCCUGUGACGAAGCGUGAGUGACGGUAAUGGGUCAAGAAGCACCGGCUAACUACGUG
This 468-nucleotide ribosomal RNA is filed under the name uncultured bacterium. Its description in RNAcentral is "partial 16S ribosomal RNA". It matches the Rfam family "Bacterial small subunit ribosomal RNA", at positions 28 to 507 of the family's 1533-position model. The record is from RNAcentral.